This 73-nucleotide transfer RNA is filed under the name Neorickettsia helminthoeca str. Oregon. RNAcentral describes it as "tRNA-Gly (GCC) (tRNA-Gly-GCC-1-1)". It matches the Rfam family "tRNA". Rfam says of the family: Transfer RNA (tRNA) molecules are approximately 80 nucleotides in length. Their secondary structure includes four short double-helical elements and three loops (D, anti-codon, and T loops). Further hydrogen bonds mediate the characteristic L-shaped molecular structure. tRNAs have two regions of fundamental functional importance: the anti-codon, which is responsible for specific mRNA codon recognition, and the 3' end, to which the tRNAs corresponding amino acid is attached (by aminoacyl-tRNA synthetases). tRNAs cope with the degeneracy of the genetic code in two manners: having more than one tRNA (with a specific anti-codon) for a particular amino acid; and 'wobble' base-pairing, i.e. permitting non-standard base-pairing at the 3rd anti-codon position. Lineage: Bacteria; Pseudomonadati; Pseudomonadota; Alphaproteobacteria; Rickettsiales; Anaplasmataceae. The record is from Rfam by way of RNAcentral.
GCGGAAGUAGUUCAGUUGGUAGAAUGCAACCUUGCCAAGGUUGAGGUCGAGGGUUCGAGUCCCUUUUUCCGCU